AUGAAGUUCAAUCCCUUUGUGACUUCCCACCAAAGCAAGAACUGCAAAAGACAUUUCAAUGCACCUUUCCACAUUUGCUUGAAGAUUAUGUCUUUCCCUCUCUCCAAAGAGCUGAAGCAGAAGUACAAGGUUUGAUCCAUGCCAUCCAAAAUGAUGAUGAAGUUCAGGUUGUGAAGGGACACUAUAAAGGUCAGCAAAUUGGCAAAGUAGUCCAGGUUUAGAGGAAGAAAUAUGUCAUCUACAUUGAAUGGGUGCAGUGGGAACGGCUAAUGGCACGACUGUCCAUGUGGGCAUUCACCUCAGCAAGGUGGUUAUUACUAGACUAGAACUGGAUAAAGACCGCAAAAAAGAUCCUUGAACGGAAAGCCAAAUCUCGCCAAGUAGGAAAUGAAAAGGGCAAAUACAAGGAAGAAACCAUUGAGAAGAUGCAAGAAUAAAGUGAUCUUAUAUACAACUUCCAGUAAAA
Molecule: RNA transcript, 466 nt
Organism: Carlito syrichta (Philippine tarsier)
Lineage: Eukaryota; Metazoa; Chordata; Mammalia; Primates; Tarsiidae
Gene name: 60S ribosomal protein L26-like
Exons: 1
Source: RefSeq, a predicted model, not a curated record